RNAcentral lists this unclassified non-coding RNA (289 nucleotides) under Hevea brasiliensis (rubber tree). The record is from RNAcentral. Lineage: Eukaryota; Viridiplantae; Streptophyta; Magnoliopsida; Malpighiales; Euphorbiaceae.
AGAAUCGCAGCAACGUAUUGAGAUCGCGCUCAAUCGUCUCUGGCGUUGCCACGGUGAUGCGAUACUCGCCGGUUUCGUCGACAAGCCUCAACAGACGCCUGAUCUUCUGUCUGGUGUUGGAACUCAACAUAUUGAGAUAAGCGUUCCAGUCCGGCGGAAGUGCCGCGAACGGGCAGAGAUUGUUGUCGAUGUUGUCGACUUUACCGAUACGAUUGAUUUCACUGGUCUGGAAACCGGCUUUCGGAAAAUGCGCCAGAAGAAGCCGGAUGCGCGGCUCUGACAUACGAAU